GUCUACGGCCAUACCACUCUGAACGUGCCCGAUCUGGUCUGAUCUCGGAAGCUAAGCAGGGUCGGGCCUGGUUAGUACUUGGAUGGG
RNAcentral lists this microRNA precursor (87 nucleotides) under Tupaia belangeri (northern tree shrew). The record is from RNAcentral. Lineage: Eukaryota; Metazoa; Chordata; Mammalia; Scandentia; Tupaiidae.